Molecule: ribosomal RNA, 164 nt
Filed under: uncultured bacterium
Lineage: Bacteria
Description: partial 16S ribosomal RNA
Rfam family: Bacterial small subunit ribosomal RNA
Source: RNAcentral
UAGGGAAUCUUCCACAAUGGACGCAAGUCUGAUGGAGCAACGCCGCGUGAGUGAAGAAGGGUUUCGGCCCGUAAAGCUCUGUUGUUAAAGAAGAACGUGGGUAAGAGUAACUGUUUACCCAGUGACGGUAUUUAACCAGAAAGCCACGGCCAACUACGUGCCAG